AUGUUCUUGGCGUCGCCUCCAGGAAGGUUACGGUGCACAGGACGCCGCCGACGCCCGAUCCGCAUCGGAUCUUGGGCUUUCACCCGGACAUGGGUUGGAGAGGAGAGAUGGUGCCCUCAGCAACGCCCCCAAGGAGGAAAGCGGCGCCAAAAAUCGGCGUCGCCGCUGCCGGUCAGCCUAAGGCAGCCAAGGUUUUCCCCGGACACCGAUCUGCUCCACCAGAACACACCGGAGGUGGAUCCGGCAAGAUCCAAACCGAACCGGGGACUGGGAAGGGAUGCAUGGAAGGGAGAGGGGCCGCCGCCAAGGACCGGCGCCAGCACGGAUCGGGACAGAUGUACCUGUACUCAGUAUGCAUGCGCCACGGUAGCCUUGCUGUGCGCCAAGCUCGAAUUCACACGAUAUGAGCAUGCCCCUGAAUACACCGCACCUCUAGACAUGAACAAAUUCGUACGGUACUUCCGUAGGUGUUAUUACCAUGAAGACGCCACCGGGUCUGCCAUACCUUUGACAUUAAAUUACAUUUGCGAAUUUGGUAUACCAAUAAGAAAUGUUGCUGGCUCUCACUUGCCUCCUGUUGGUCCGGAGUUUAACCUGCGGAUUGGAGGUUAUUUUCAUGUUGAUCCUACUGAUACCGAUUUUAUCACCCGCCUCAUAGCCUCGGGAUUCCCGUUGGUAGGCUUGAUAGAGGCAGGUCGCCGUUUCAACCACAUUAGAGGUCGGGAAGUUUAUGUUACACCACAGGAAGGUACAGAACCAGGAAUGUGUCACACCGUGGCCAUUAUUGGAUCAGGGUUAGAGUUAAGGAAUGUUAGUAGGCCUGACAACCGCCUCACCCAACCUGUGUACGAGACCUACUUUGUGAUCCGGGACUCUUAUGGCCCCUAUGCCCACGGAUCUAGUGCAAGGUCGUUUGCUCAUGAUGGAGUAUCAGUCGGAUACGACUUCAAUGUUUGGGCCAGCGACCUGCGAGAAGCCUGGGGUGUUUGGAACCCGCAAGGAUGUAAGUUCAUAUGUUUCUAA
RNAcentral lists this ribosomal RNA (1023 nucleotides) under Triticum aestivum (bread wheat). Its description in RNAcentral is "partial small subunit ribosomal RNA". The record is from RNAcentral. Lineage: Eukaryota; Viridiplantae; Streptophyta; Magnoliopsida; Poales; Poaceae.